UUAAGCGACUAAGCGUACACGGUGGAUGCCCUGGCAGUCAGAGGCGAUGAAGGACGUGCUAAUCUGCGAUAAGCGUCGGUGAGGUGAUAUGAACCGUUAUAACCGGCGAUUUCCGAAUGGGGAAACCCAGUGUGUUUCGACACACUAUCAUUAACUGAAUCCAUAGGUUAAUGAGGCGAACCGGGGAACUGAAACAUCUAAGUACCCCGAGGAAAAGAAAUCAACCGAGAUUCCCCCAGUAGCGGCGAGCGAACGGGGAGGAGCCCAGAGCCUGAAUCAGUGUGUGUGUUAGUGGAAGCGUCUGGAAAGGCGCGCGAUACAGGGUGACAGCCCCGUACACAAAAAUGCACAUAUUGUGAGCUCGAUGAGUAGGGCGGGACACGUGGUAUCCUGUCUGAAUAUGGGGGGACCAUCCUCCAAGGCUAAAUACUCCUGACUGACCGAUAGUGAACCAGUACCGUGAGGGAAAGGCGAAAAGAACCCCGGCGAGGGGAGUGAAAAAGAACCUGAAACCGUGUACGUACAAGCAGUGGGAGCCUCUUUAUGGGGUGACUGCGUACCUUUUGUAUAAUGGGUCAGCGACUUAUAUUCUGUAGCAAGGUUAACCGAAUAGGGGAGCCGAAGGGAAACCGAGUCUUAACUGGGCGUUAAGUUGCAGGGUAUAGACCCGAAACCCGGUGAUCUAGCCAUGGGCAGGUUGAAGGUUGGGUAACACUAACUGGAGGACCGAACCGACUAAUGUUGAAAAAUUAGCGGAUGACUUGUGGCUGGGGGUGAAAGGCCAAUCAAACCGGGAGAUAGCUGGUUCUCCCCGAAAGCUAUUUAGGUAGCGCCUCGUGAAUUCAUCUCCGGGGGUAGAGCACUGUUUCGGCAAGGGGGUCAUCCCGACUUACCAACCCGAUGCAAACUGCGAAUACCGGAGAAUGUUAUCACGGGAGACACACGGCGGGUGCUAACGUCCGUCGUGAAGAGGGAAACAACCCAGACCGCCAGCUAAGGUCCCAAAGUCAUGGUUAAGUGGGAAACGAUGUGGGAAGGCCCAGACAGCCAGGAUGUUGGCUUAGAAGCAGCCAUCAUUUAAAGAAAGCGUAAUAGCUCACUGGUCGAGUCGGCCUGCGCGGAAGAUGUAACGGGGCUAAACCAUGCACCGAAGCUGCGGCAGCGACACUAUGUGUUGUUGGGUAGGGGAGCGUUCUGUAAGCCUGUGAAGGUGGCCUGUGAGGGUUGCUGGAGGUAUCAGAAGUGCGAAUGCUGACAUAAGUAACGAUAAAGCGGGUGAAAAGCCCGCUCGCCGGAAGACCAAGGGUUCCUGUCCAACGUUAAUCGGGGCAGGGUGAGUCGACCCCUAAGGCGAGGCCGAAAGGCGUAGUCGAUGGGAAACAGGUUAAUAUUCCUGUACUUGGUGUUACUGCGAAGGGGGACGGAGAAGGCUAUGUUGGCCGGGCGACGGUUGUCCCGGUUUAAGCGUGUAGGCUGGUUUUCCAGGCAAAUCCGGAAAACCAAGGCUGAGGCGUGAUGACGAGGCACUACGGUGCUGAAGCGACAAAUGCCCUGCUUCCAGGAAAAGCCUCUAAGCAUCAGGUAACAUCAAAUCGUACCCCAAACCGACACAGGUGGUCAGGUAGAGAAUACCAAGGCGCUUGAGAGAACUCGGGUGAAGGAACUAGGCAAAAUGGUGCCGUAACUUCGGGAGAAGGCACGCUGAUAUGUAGGUGAAGCGACUUGCUCGUGGAGCUGAAAUCAGUCGAAGAUACCAGCUGGCUGCAACUGUUUAUUAAAAACACAGCACUGUGCAAACACGAAAGUGGACGUAUACGGUGUGACGCCUGCCCGGUGCCGGAAGGUUAAUUGAUGGGGUUAGCGGUAACGCGAAGCUCUUGAUCGAAGCCCCGGUAAACGGCGGCCGUAACUAUAACGGUCCUAAGGUAGCGAAAUUCCUUGUCGGGUAAGUUCCGACCUGCACGAAUGGCGUAAUGAUGGCCAGGCUGUCUCCACCCGAGACUCAGUGAAAUUGAACUCGCUGUGAAGAUGCAGUGUACCCGCGGCAAGACGGAAAGACCCCGUGAACCUUUACUAUAGCUUGACACUGAACAUUGAGCCUUGAUGUGUAGGAUAGGUGGGAGGCUUUGAAGUGUGGACGCCAGUCUGCAUGGAGCCGACCUUGAAAUACCACCCUUUAAUGUUUGAUGUUCUAACGUUGGCCCGUAAUCCGGGUUGCGGACAGUGUCUGGUGGGUAGUUUGACUGGGGCGGUCUCCUCCUAAAGAGUAACGGAGGAGCACGAAGGUUGGCUAAUCCUGGUCGGACAUCAGGAGGUUAGUGCAAUGGCAUAAGCCAGCUUGACUGCGAGCGUGACGGCGCGAGCAGGUGCGAAAGCAGGUCAUAGUGAUCCGGUGGUUCUGAAUGGAAGGGCCAUCGCUCAACGGAUAAAAGGUACUCCGGGGAUAACAGGCUGAUACCGCCCAAGAGUUCAUAUCGACGGCGGUGUUUGGCACCUCGAUGUCGGCUCAUCACAUCCUGGGGCUGAAGUAGGUCCCAAGGGUAUGGCUGUUCGCCAUUUAAAGUGGUACGCGAGCUGGGUUUAGAACGUCGUGAGACAGUUCGGUCCCUAUCUGCCGUGGGCGCUGGAGAACUGAGGGGGCUGCUCCUAGUACGAGAGGACCGGAGUGGACGCAUCACUGGUGUUCGGGUUGUCAUGCCAAUGGCACUGCCCGGUAGCUAAAUGCGGAAGAGAUAAGUGCUGAAAGCAUCUAAGCACGAAACUUGCCCCGAGAUGAGUUCUCCCUGACUCCUUGAGAGUCCUGAAGGAACGUUGAAGACGACGACGUUGAUAGGCCGGGUGUGUAAGCGCAGCGAUGCGUUGAGCUAACCGGUACUAAUGAACCGUGAGGCUUAACCU
Molecule: ribosomal RNA, 2898 nt
Filed under: Escherichia coli
Lineage: Bacteria; Pseudomonadati; Pseudomonadota; Gammaproteobacteria; Enterobacterales; Enterobacteriaceae
Description: bacterial LSU rRNA
Rfam family: Bacterial large subunit ribosomal RNA
Source: RNAcentral